Venturia canescens is the source of this 2160-nucleotide long non-coding RNA. RefSeq lists it as uncharacterized. The transcript is spliced from 3 exons. The record is from RefSeq and is a predicted model, not a curated record. Lineage: Eukaryota; Metazoa; Arthropoda; Insecta; Hymenoptera; Ichneumonidae.
AGACAGCACUUGCCAAGCAUUGAUCGUGGAUCCGGACGAUUCGAUGGGCCAUUUCGCCUCCUUUCCAAUGCCCUCGUGUUCCUGUGUGCCGGUGUGUUUUCUCUUUCAUGCUCUUUUUCUUCUUAACCUGCGGAGGAGAAGGGCAUCGAGCGACAUCAGUCUUCUCCGGGUGAAUCGUGACAAUUACAUUCUUUCUCUGACAAGAGGUCGAGGCUCAUGAAUAUUUCUACACCCACAGGAGGUGCAGCCUCGUCGUUAUGAGCAAACGCGCGCUUUAUAUUUUUUCGUCCGAUUUGGAAUAACGCGGAAAAGAGCAACUAGCACCAGCGUGGAUGGAAUUUCUUUGGAAGGGAUCUUUAAAUUUUUAAAGGGCGAUCGCAGAGUCUAUUGAGAACGAGUGCAAGACAGAGACGUCGAGCGAGAGAAAGAGAACCCCUCGUACUUGCAGUCUAACGUUUAUGUGUGGGACGACGAACAGCUGACGAGCGUCUGCACCUUGAGGAAAGACCCACAGCAGACAGGAUCUGCAAUUCAGAAAUCCAUCCAACCCCAAAGAAGAUUCCGUCAUUUUUGAGCAAUUCGUGUUCCAGAGAAGCAGUAAAAAUAUUGAGUCCAAUUUGUCGUUGGACGUGCAAAUGUCAAAAUUGGAAGUUCCUUCAUUUUAAAUUCUUUUUUUGAAAAUGAACGAGUCGAUAAUGAGGCUAAAUUUUGGAACGUAAUUGCCAGGCAAGGAAUAAAUAGUGAAAAAUCCUGGUCCAAAAAUCCUCGCAUCACGUCUUUAUCGCGACUGACCAGAAAAAUUGAUGGGAGUGAAGGAAUUGCAGAAAAAGAAGAGUGUCCGUGCGUGCACCUGCAUCGCGUACUGUUUAGAGUGCAAGUUUACACUGUUUUUUUUUGUGCCACCUGCCCCGCGAGUUAUAUAUUUUCGAGAACGAAAACAAUUUAUCGGGCGAGCUAAAAUUUUCAAAUUGUUUGAAGGAUACACACCCAAUUCUGACACGCAAGUGUGUUACGUUCAAAGCUUGAUGCAUUGUUUCGUAUAAAGGGCGAGAAAAAAUGUUGGUUUUUUCAACGGAAACUGAGAAUUUGUUUGAGCGGAGUUCAAAUAUUUGCAUACGAAGAGUGUGUGCCAGUCGCGUUUGCAUGUCUCUGUCUCUGUCUGUCUGUCUCUGAUUAUUUUUCAGAAAUUGAACAUCGAAUCGCAGCCAAAGUUCACCGAGUCUCCGCUAAUAAAGUAUUGAAAAGGAAUCGAAAGUUUCAGUAUUAGUGUAAGAAAUGGACGAAAGAGAAAAGGCCACCAGCGACGAGUGAUUUUCACAUAUGAGGCGUACCCUCGCAUGAGAUAUCGAGGUUUCACGGAACGAUGAGUCUUCAGCGGUGAAGUGAUCCUCCGGAGUUUUUCGAUUGGAGAAAAAGUCGAGGAAUGAUGGCGAACCAUAUGCCAAAGAUGUUCGUCGGUCUUCGUUGGGUGCAAGAAACCUCCCGUUAAGUUGGAGUGAGAAAAAAUGAAAACCGCCGAUGAUCCAUGACGGAGGGCUCAAGGGGGUCCCUCUAAUUACUGUGAGAAAGCGAGUGCUCGAAAGGUCGAGUUUCAAGCGAGUUCGCUUCACGAAUUCCCACAAUAAAUUCAUCGCUUCGUUUUCAAACGAAACACCAGAUAGACAAGAGAGUCCCAACUAUUUCUGGCACUCUGGAUUGUUGCACGAUUUUAAUUGUUUCCCGAAUUCCAUUCGCGGUUCGUAGGCAACAGAUGCUUGUUGCGGUAUUGUGCGCCAUACGACAUCCGCAUUGUUUGGUGCCCACAGGGAUCGUCGUAUCACGUCUUCGGCCCCAUCAUCCUGAGAUCGGUAUGCCGAUAAUAUUCUUCGCAAAGUUUCGCAGCAUGUGGCACAAACGUAAUGAGAAAUUUUGAGGAAUCGAGAGGCUGAAAUGAAGAUGGGAAAAGUGACGAUUCUCGAGUGCUCGCUCGCUCCUCCAGGAUUCGAAAUAAAUGUGGAGUCGAUUCUGUUUUUUGGCAGCAGUUGAACCUCCAGCAAAAAUUGGAGUCGAUUGGGAGCUGAAAGUUCACGAGAACAUCGUUCGAAAGUGCUUUCGGCUCUUCUGUUCGUAAAAUAAUUCAUUCCUGUCAUUGCGAAACGUAAUUUAUUCAAAAUGAACGAU